Molecule: ribosomal RNA, 301 nt
Filed under: uncultured bacterium
Lineage: Bacteria
Description: partial 16S ribosomal RNA
Rfam family: Bacterial small subunit ribosomal RNA
Source: RNAcentral
CAGUCGCCGCGGGAAUACGUAGGUGGCAAGCGUUGUCCGGAAUUAUUGGGCGUAAAGGGCUCGCAGGCGGUUUCUUAAGUCUGAUGUGAAAGCCCCCGGCUCAACCGGGGAGGGUCAUUGGAAACUGGGAAACUUGAGUGCAGAAGAGGAGAGUGGAAUUCCACGUGUAGCGGUGAAAUGCGUAGAGAUGUGGAGGAACACCGGUGGCGAAGGCGACUCUCUGGUCUGUAACUGACGCUGAGGAGCGAAAGCGUGGGGAGCGAACAGGAUUAGAUACCCCAGUAGUCCCUGUCUCUUAUAC